ACCGUGUGCUUACAAGUAGUCAGAGCCCGUUAAUGGGUGAUGGCGUGCCUUUUGUAGAAUGAACCGGCGAGUUACGAUCUGAUGCAAGGUUAAGCAGGAGAUGUGGAGCCGUAGCGAAAGCGAGUCUGAAUAGGGCGUUGAGUAUUUGGUCGUAGACCGAAACCAGGUGAUCUACCCAUGGUCAGGUUGAAGUUCAGGUAACACUGAAUGGAGGACCGAACCGACUUACGUUGAAAAGUGAGCGGAUGAACUGUGGGUAGCGGAGAAAUUCCAAUCGAACUUGGAGAUAGCUGGUUCUCUCCGAAAUAGCUUUAGGGCUAGCCUCAAGUGAUGAUUAUUGGAGGUAGAGCACUGUUUGGACGAGGGGCCCCUCUCGGGUUACCGAAUUCAGACAAACUCCGAAUGCCAAUUAAUUUAACUUGGGAGUCAGAACAUGGGUGAUAAGGUCCGUGUUCGAAAGGGAAACA
This 467-nucleotide ribosomal RNA is filed under the name Staphylococcus haemolyticus. RNAcentral describes it as "partial 23S ribosomal RNA". It matches the Rfam family "Bacterial large subunit ribosomal RNA", at positions 555 to 1024 of the family's 2925-position model. The record is from RNAcentral. Lineage: Bacteria; Bacillati; Bacillota; Bacilli; Caryophanales; Staphylococcaceae.